AGCAGCCGCGGUAAUUCCAGCUCCAAUAGCGUAUAUUAAAGUUGUUGCAGUUAAAAAGCUCGUAGUUGAAUUUCGGGACCAAUUUGUUGGUCGUGCCUCGGUACGUACUGGUAUUAUUGGUUUCUCCCUUCUGAAGAACCUCGAUGCCAUUAAUUUGGUGUCGUGGGGAAUCAGGACUGUUACUUUGAAAAAAUUAGAGUGUUUAAAGCAAGCAUACGCUUGAAUACAUUAGCAUGGAAUAAUGAAAUAGGACGUUUGAUUCUAUUUUGUUGGUUUCUAGGAUCGACGUAAUGAUUAAUAGGGAUAGUUGGGGGCAUUAGUAUUCAAUUGUCAGAGGUGAAAUUCUUGGAUUUAUUGAAGACUAACUACUGCGAAAGCAUUUGCCAAGGAUGUUUUCAUUAAUCAAGAACGAAAGUUAGGGGAUCGAAGACGAUCAGAUACCGUCGUAGUCUUAACCAUAAACUAUGCCGACUAGGGAUCGGAUGAUGUAUUUUUAAUGACUCAUUCGGCGCCUUACGGG
Molecule: ribosomal RNA, 520 nt
Filed under: uncultured Glomus
Lineage: Eukaryota; Fungi; Glomeromycota; Glomeromycetes; Glomerales; Glomeraceae
Description: SSU rRNA
Rfam family: Eukaryotic small subunit ribosomal RNA
Source: RNAcentral